This 357-nucleotide ribosomal RNA is filed under the name uncultured bacterium. Its description in RNAcentral is "partial 16S ribosomal RNA". It matches the Rfam family "Bacterial small subunit ribosomal RNA", at positions 338 to 693 of the family's 1533-position model. The record is from RNAcentral.
CCUACGAGAGGCAGCAGUGAGGAAUAUUGGUCAAUGGUCGGGAGACUGAACCAGCCAAGCCGCGUGAGGGAUGAAGGUACAGAGUAUCGUAAACCUCUUUUGUCAGGGAACAAAGGCGGGGACGCGUCCCCGGAUGAGUGUACCUGAAGAAAAAGCAUCGGCUAAAUACGUGCCAGCAGCCGCGGUAAUACGGAGGAUGCGAGCGUUAACCGGCGUUAUUGGUUUUAAAGGGUGCGCAGGCGGUCGGUUAAGUCAGCGGUCAAAGCCCGGGGCUCAAACCCGGACCGCCGUUGAAACUUGCAGUCGCGAGUUGGAGAGAAGUCUGCGGAAUGCGCGGUGUCGCGGUGAAAUGCAUAG